CCGGACACGCCGGAACCACCUGCCGAGUAUGCCGGAACCACCUGCUCCACUCCCCAGAACCACCUGCUGGACACGCCAAAAUCACCUGCCGGCUACGCCAGAACCACUCGGCAGACACUCCGGAACCACCUCCAGGACAGACCGGAACCACCUCUCAUAGGUGACAGAAGCACAUGCCGGAGACUCCGGAAUCACCUGCCGGGCAUGCCGGAACCAUCUCUCAGACGUGCCACAACCACGUGCCGGAGAGACCGGAAGCACCUGCCGAGCUCACCAGAACCACCUGCUGGACAGACCGGAUCCACCGCCGGACAUGCAAAAUCACCUGCCGGCUGCGCCAGAACCACUCGGCGAACACUCCGGAAUCACCUGCCGGGCAUGGCGGAACCACGUCUCAGACAUGCCGGAACCACAUGCCAACGACACCGGAAGCAACUGCCCAGCACGCCAGAAACACCUGCUCGACUCGCCAAAACCACCUGCUGGACACGCCAAAAUCACCUGCCGGCUACGCCACAACCAUUUGGUGAACACUUCGGAAUCACCUGCCGGGCUGGCUGGAACCACCUGCCGGUCACGCCAACAUCACCUGCCAGCUAUGCCAGAACCACUUGGCGGACACCAUGGAAACACCUGUCGGGCCGGCCGGAACCACCUCUCAGACGUGCCAGAACCAUGUGCCUGAGAUGCCGGAACCACACCCCGAACAGACCGAAACCACCUGCCAGACCCGCCUGAACCACCUGCCGAGCAUGCCGGAACCACCUACUCGACUCGCCGGAACCACCUACCUGACACGCCAAAAUCACCUGCCGGGUAUGCCAGAACCACUGGGUGGACACUCUGGAAUCAUCUGCCGGACAUGCCAGAACCAGCUCUCAGACACACCAGAACCACGUGGCGGACACGCCGGAAGCAGCUGCUGAGCAUGCAUGAGCCACAUGCUCGACUUGCAAGAAACACCUGCCAGACACGCCAAAAUCACCUGGCGGGUACGCGAGAACCACGUGGCGGACACUCCGGAAUCACCUGUCGGGCAUGCCGGAGCCACCUCUCAGACGUGCCAGAACCUCGUGCCGGACACGCCAGAACCACCUGCCGGACAGACCGGAACCACCUGCCGGACACAACGGAACCACCGGCUCGACUCGCCGGAACCACCGCCGGACAUGCAAAAUCACCUGCCGGCUACGCCAGGACCACUCGGCAGACACUCCGGAACCACCUGCCGGGCAUGCCGGAGCCAUCUAUCAGACGUGCCAGAAUCAUGUUCCGGACACGCUGGUACCACCUGCCGAGCUUGCCGGAACCACCUGCUGGACACGCCAAAAUCACCUGCCGGCUAUCCCAGAACCACUCAGCAGACACUCCGGAAUCACCUGCCGGGCUUGCUGGAACCACCUGCCGGUCACGCCAACAUCACCUGCCAGCUACGCCAGAACCACUUGGCGGACACUCCGGAAACACCUGUCGGGCCGGCCGGAACCACCUCUCAGAUGUGCCAGAACCAUGUGCCUGAAAUGCCGGAACCACACCCCGAACACACCGAAACCACCUGCCAGACCCGCCUGAACCCCCUGGCGAGCACGCCUGAUCCACCUGCUCAACUAGCCGGAACCACCUUCCUGACACGCCAAAAUCACCUGCCAGGUAUACCAGAACCACUUGGUGGACACUCCGGAAUCAUCUGCCUUACAUGCCAGACCCAGCUCUCAGUCACACCAGAACCACGUGCCAGAGACGCCGGAAGCACCUGCUGAGCAUGCCUGAGCCACCUGCUCGACUCGCAAGAAACACCUGUCGGACAUGCCCAAAUCACCUGCCGGGUACGCCAGAAACACCUGGCGGACACUCCGGAAUCACCUGUCAGGCAUGCCGGAACCACCUCUCAGACUUGCCAGAACCAGGUUCCGGACACGCCGGUACCACCUGCCUAGUAUGCCGGAACCAGCUGAUCCACUCCCCAGAACCACCUACUGGAAACGCCAAAAUCAACUGCCGGCUACAUCAGAACCACUCGGAAGACACUCCGGAACCACCUGGCGGCAUGUCGGAACCACCUCUCAGAGGUGCCAGAACCACAUGCCGGACACUCCGUAAUCACCUGCCGGGCAUGCCGGAGCCAUCUCUCAGACGUGCCACAACCACGUGCCGGAGAGACCGGAAGCACCUGCUGAGCUCGCCGGAACCACCUGCUCGACUUACCAGAGCCACCUGCCGGACACACCAGAAACACAUGCAGGGUACGCCAGAACCACUUGGAGGACUCUCCGGAAUCACCUGCCGGGCAUGCCGGAACCACCUCUCAGACGUGCCAGAACCAUGUGCCGGACACGCCGGAACCACCUGACGAGCACUCCGGAACAACCUGCUCCACGCCCCCGAACCACCUGCUGGACAUGCCAAAAUCACCUGCCCGCUACACCAGAACCACUUGGCAGACAAGCCGAAAUCCCGUGAAGUGCAUGCCGACACAAAAUUUCAGACGUGCCAGAACCUCGUGCCGGACACCCCAGAACCACCUGCGGGACAGACCGGUUCCAACGCCGGACAUGCAAAAUAACGUGCCGGCUACGCCAGAACCACUUGGCGAACACUGCAGAAUCACCUGCCGGGCAUGCCAGAACCACUUGGUGGCACUCCGGAAUCAUCUGCCGGACAUGCCAGAACCAGCUCUCAGACUCACCAGAACCACGUGCCAGAGACGCCGGAAGCACCAGCUGAGAAUGCCUGAGCCACCUGCUAGACUCGCAAGAAACACCUGUCGGAGAUGCCAAAAUCACCUGCCGGGUAUGCCAGAAAGACUUGGCGGACACUCCGGAAUCACCGGUCGGGCAUGCCGGAUCCACCUCUCAGACUUGCCAGAACCAUGUUCUGCACACGCCGGUACCACCUGCAGAGUAUGCCUGAACCAGCUGAUCCACUCCCCAGAACAACCUGCUGGACACGCCAAAAUCAACUGCCAGCUAUGCCAGAACCACUCGGCAGACACUCCGGGAUCACAUGUCAGGCAUUCCGGAACCACAUCUCAGAGGUGACAGAACCACAUGCCGGACACUCCGGAAUCACCUGCCGGGCAUGCUGGAACCAUCUCUCAGACAUGCCACAACCACGUGCCAGAGAGACCGGAAGCACCUGCCGAGCUCGCCGGAACCACCUGCUGGACAUGCCGGAACGACCUGCCUCACAGGCCAAAAUCAUAUGCCGGCUACGCCAAAACCACUUGGUGGACACUGCAGAAUCACCUUGCGGGAAUGCCGGAACCACGUCAUGGACAAACGGCAAACACCUGCCGGACCUGUCGGAACCACCUGUCGAGCACGCUGGAACCACCUGCUCGACUCACCAGAGCCACCUGACGGACACACCAGAAACACCUGCGGGGUACGCCAGAACCACUUGGAGGACUCUCCGGGAUCACCUGCCGGGCAUGCCGGAACCACCUCUCAGACGUGCCAGAACCAUGUGCCGGACACGCCGGAACCACCUGCCGAGUAUGCCGGAACCACCUGAUCCAAUCCCCAGAACCACCUGCUGGACACGCCAAAAUCACCUGCCGGCUAUGACACAACCACUCGGCAGACACUCCGGAACCACCUCCAGGACAGACCGGAACCACCUGCCGGACACGCCGGGACCACCUGCUUGACUCGCCAGAACCACCUGCUGGACACGCCGGAAUCACCAGCCGGCUACGCCACAACCACUUGUCAGAAACUCCGGAAUCACCUGCCGGGCAUGCUGGAACCACGUCUCAGAGGUGCCACAACCACAUGCCGGAGUCUCCGGAUUCACGUGCCGAGUAUGCCGGAACCAGCAGCUCCACUCCCCAGAACCACCUGCUGGACACGCCAAAAUCACCUGCCGGCUACGCCAGAACCACUCGGCACACACUCUGGAACCACCUCCAUGACAGAGCGGAACCACCUGCCGGACACGCCGGGACCACCUGCUUGACUCGCCAGAACCACAUGCCAGACACGCCAGAAUCACCAGCCGGCUAUGCCACAACCACUUGUCGGACACUCCGGAAUCACCUGCCGGGCAUGCUGGAACCACCUCUCAGAGGGGCCACAACCACAUGCCGGAGACGGCGGAAGCACCUGCCGAGAAUGCCGGAAGUUCCUGAUCCACUCCCCAGAACCACCUGCCGGACAUGCCAAAAUCACCUGCCGGGUACGCCAGAAACACUUGGCGGACACUCCAGAAUCACCUGCCGGGCAUGCCAGCACAACCUCUCAGAAGUGCCAGAAGCACGUGCCGGACAGGCCGGAACCAUCUCCCGGACAGACCGGAAACACAGGAAACACUCGCCGGAACCACGUGCUUGACUCACCGGUCCCACCUGCCGGACACGCCAAAAUCACCUGCCCGCUACACCAGAACCACUUGGCGGACAAGCCGGAAUCCCGUGAAGUGCAUGCCGACACAACCUCUCAGACGUGCCAGAACCUCGUGCCGGACAGCCCAGAACCACCUGCUGGCCAGACCGGAACCACCUGCCGGACACGCCGGAAGCACCGGCUCGACUUGCCAAAACCACCUGCUGGACACGCCAAAAUCACCUGCCGGCUACGCCAGAACCACUUGGCAAACACUCCGGAAUCACCUGCCGGGCAUGCCGGAACCACCUCUCAGACUUGCCAGAACCAUGUUCCGGACACGGCGGUACCACCUGCCGAGUAUGCCGGAACCACCUGAUCCACUCCCCAGAACCAACUGCUGGACACGCCAAAAUCACCUGCCGGCUACGCCAGAACCACUCAGCAGACACUCCGGAACCACCUGCCGGGCAUGCCAGAAGCACCUCUCAGACGUGCGAGAACCACAUGCCGGACACUACCAAAUCACCUGCCGGGAAUGCUGGAACCAUCUCUCAGAAGUGCCAGAACCAUGUUCCGGACACGCCGGUACCACCUGCCGAGCUCACCGGAACCACCUGCUGGACACGCCAAAAUCACCUGCUGGCUGCGCCAGAACCACUCGUCAGACACUCCGGAAUCACCUGCCGGGCUUGCUGGAACCACCUGCUGGUCACGCCAACAUCACCUGCCAGCUACGCCAGAACCACUUGGCGGACACUCCGGAAACACCUGUCGGGCCGGCCGGAACCACCUCUCAGAUGUGCCAGAACCAUGUGCCUGAGAUGCCCGAACCACACCCUGAAACAACCUGCCAGACCUGCCUGAACCACCUGCCGAGCACGCCUGAUCCACGUGCUCAACUAGCCGGAACCACCUUCCUGACACGCCAAAAUCACCUGCCAGGUAUACCAGAACCACUUGGUGGACACUCCGGAAUCAUCUGCCGGACAUGCCAGAACCCGCUCUCAGACACACCUGAACGACGUGCCGGACACGCCGGAAGCACCUGCUCGACUCCACAGAGCCACCUGCCGGACACACCAGAAACACCUGCGGGGUACGAGAGAACCACUCAGCAGACACUCCAGAACCACUUGCCGGGCAUGCCGGAACCACCUCUCAGAGGUGCCAGAACCACAUGACGGAGACUCCGGAAUCACCUGCCAGGCAUGCCGGAACCAUCUCUCAGACGUGCCAGAACCACAUGCCGGACACUCCAGAAUCACCUGCCGGGCAUGCCGGAACCAUGUCUCAGACGUGCCACAACCACGUGCCGGAGAGAGCGGAAGCACCUGCCGAGCUCGCCGGAACCACCUGCUGGACAUGCCGGAACCUCCUGCCUCACAGGCCAAAAUCAUAUGCCGGCUACGCCAAAACCACUUGGUGGACAAGCCGGAAUCACAUGAAGGGCAUGCAGACACAACCUGUCAGUCGUGCCACAACCUCGUGCCGGACACCCAAGAACCACCUGACGGACAGACCGGAACCACCUGCCGGACAUGCCAGAACCGCCAGCUCGACUCGCCGGAACCACCGCCGGACAUGGAAAAUCACCUGCCGGCUACGCCAGAACCAAUGGCGAACAACCGGAAUCACCUGCCGAGCAUGCUGGAACCACCUCUCAGAGGUGCCACAAACAUGCCGGAGACGGCGGAAGCACCUGCCGAGAUGACGGAGGUUCCUGAUCCACUCCACAGAACCACCUGCCAGACACGCCAAGAUCACCUGCCCGUUACGCCACAACCACUUGGCAGACACUCCAGAAUCACCUGCCGGGCAUGCCAGCACAACCUCUCAGAAGUGCCAGAAGCAUGUGCCGGACAGGCCGGAACCAUCUCCCCGACAGCCCGGAAACACAGGAAACACUCGCCGGAACCACCUUCUUGACUCACCGGUCCCACCUGCCGGACACGCCAAAAUCACCUGCCCGCUACACCAGAACAACUUGGCGGACAAGCCGGAAUCACGUGAAGGGCAUGCCGACACAACCUCUCAGACGUGCCAGAACCUCGUGCCGGACAGCCCAGAACCACCUGCCGGACAGACUGGAACCACCUGCCGGACACGCAGGAACCAGUCGCUCGUCUAUCCAGAACCACCGCCGGACAUGGAAAAUCACCUGCCGGCUACACCAGAACCACUUGCCGAACACUCCGGAAUCAACUGCCGGGCAUGCCGGAACCACCUCUCAGAGAUGCCAGAACCACAUACCAGAGACUCCGGAAUUACCUGCAAGGCUUGCCGGAUCCAUCUCUGAGACCUGCGACAACCUCAUGCCAGAGAGACCGGAAGCACCUGCCGAGCUCGCCAGAACCACCUGCUGGACAUGCCGGAACCACCUGCCUCACAGGCCAAAGUCAUAUGCCAGCUACGCCAAAAGCACUUGG
Long non-coding RNA from Equus caballus (horse), 6751 nucleotides. NCBI's taxonomy places the organism in Eukaryota, Metazoa, Chordata, Mammalia, Perissodactyla, Equidae. The record is from Ensembl.